Molecule: long non-coding RNA, 39109 nt
Filed under: Citrus x clementina
Lineage: Eukaryota; Viridiplantae; Streptophyta; Magnoliopsida; Sapindales; Rutaceae
Description: Citrus clementina (C. clementina) long non-coding RNA (CCLE_LNC002091)
Source: RNAcentral
GUGAAAAUAAUGAUUUAUUUAAAAAGAAUAUUAAAUAAUUUGAGCUUAAAAGAUUAAUCAUUCUUAAUCUUGUUUGUUAUCAUCAAAAUCAAUAUUAUGGAAACAUAUAUGUUAACAGUGGUGGCGGUGGUGGUGGAGGUGAAGGACCGUAAACGUGAGGUGGCGGUGGUGGGUGAGGAGCAUAUGGGUCUGCUACUGGUGGUGGUGGUGGUGGAGGACUUGGACCUGGACCUGGACGGUGGUGUCUAUGAAAUGCCAUGUUUUUGAAAGUUAGGUGAUCAAUACAAAGUGUUGUGCUGUUGUUUUUGUUUUAAGGGAUUUGGAGUUGUUCGUAUGUACACUAGAAACAUGUAUUUCCUUUGACGGUUUGUUGGAUGACGUGCAGAUGUUUGUGCCUCGGCUUCCUCAGCCAAUCAGAAUUUUAUUUUUGUCAAAAUUCGUUUCGUCUCCUCAUAUACUCCGUUUCAAGAGUGCAUAAUAUUUUAUUGACUAUUAUUAUUAUUAUUAUUAUUAUUAUUAUUAUUAUUAUUAUUAUUAUUAUUAUUAUUAUUAUUAUUAUUAUUAUUAUUAUUAUUAUUAUUAUUAUUAUUAUUAUUAUUGGUUUUGACUAUUUUAUGAUGUUUAGACUUUAGACUACAAGAUAUGAUGUCAAAAAUAGACCCAUGUAUAAUAAUAUUAUGUUGUUAUCUUUCAUUUUGAUAACAAAAUCUCUUCGUAUCAUCGCAGAUUAUUCAUUUUCAUUUUACGAAAAGUAAAAAAAAAAAGCAUGGUUGUAAAGAAACUGCACCAUUAAUUAAAUCGUGAAAAUAUUAUUAAUCAUUACUAUAUGAUUUUCUAACUUUCUAAUACCAGUAACCAUAUUAUAAUAUACUAACACACUUUUUUUUCAAUUACACCAAAUUAUUAUUAUUAUUAUUUUCAUAAUAAAUUGAAGCUGUAAUAAUAUUUUUAGCACCAUUCCAAUUUAUUCAAUAAAUAUAUAAUUUAUUAUUUUAUAAAAUAGGCGGCCUCUAACUCUAGUUGAAAAAAAAAGGAAAAAAAAUUGAAUCGAGAACAUGUUUGAGAAUACAACAAAAAUUAUACCAUUCAAAGAAAAAUUAUAAAACCUAAGGGGUAUUAACAAAAAUUCCUUGGACUAGGCCAGGCAAUGUCUGCCACUGGUGGAAAGUAGAUAUUUAUUUGCAUUUGUGGUUGUAAUCGAAAAUGGUAGGGAUAGUGAAUCUUUUAGGUGUAUUUCUUACGGGUGUCGUAAUUUUGACAUCGACUAAAACUUGUUUAAAUUUUGACAUUUUUAUUAGUGCAUUGAAUGUAACGUGUUGCUAUUACGAUGUAGGGAUGGCAAUAGGGAGGGGAGGGGAGGGGACCAAUCUCCCUAUACCCAUUCCUGAUAUUUUGUUAUGUCCCCGUUCCCUCCGCGUCCCCGUCAGAAUUGCUUAAGAGAAUCUUUAUCCCCUCUCUGAAUAAUAACAGGGGAUCCCCGAGGGUCCCCGGUCCCCGAAUAACUAAUAGUCUAAUACAUUUUUUUUUAUUUUUUUUUAAAUUAAUCAUAUUAAAAUAAAAAAUUCAGAUAAAAAUAAAGUUUAAAAUAUAUCUUGCAUUAAUAUUGAUCCAUUACAAAGUCACAUUCAAAAUAUAAAUUAUUAAAAUAAUUAUCUUUGUCAAUGACUCAAUCUUCAUAAUCCUACAAUAAAAAGAAAAAAAAUUAUUUUUAUAUCGGUAAUAAAAUAAAUAAAAUAAAUGUAGAUACUUAAUUAAUAUUUUUAAUAAAACUAUUUACCUCCUGCUCCUCCUGUUCUUCCUCGAGAAAUGUGGCAAAUUGAGAGCUAGUCUCAGAUUUCAAACCUAAAACAAUGAAAAUGAUAUAAGUAACGUAACUUAUAAGUGCAAAUAUUAAUUACUGUAUAAUAUAAUUACAAUGUAAAAUAAACUCAUACUGCUAUUGUAAGCUCGUAACCAACUUUGACAGCACAUUAAGGCCUCCAAUGUGUUUGGAUGAAGUUUGUUACGGUGUGCACUCACAACUCUACCACCGGUGCUAAAAGCUGAUUCAGAAGCAACUGUUGUAAUUGGAAUUGCCAAAAUAUCUCUAGCAAUUCGAGCUAAUGUAGGAUUCGAAUUAGGAUUAGAACUGUUGUAAAUUAUAAUUAGGCAGCUCUCUCCUGUAUCAUUGUGGUUUAGAUUAAAAAUUUAAGACUUUAAUUAGUUAAUUAAGUUUAAAAGUUUAAUAAUAUAACUAUUUUAAUAUUUAUUAUUUUUAACAAUAUUUAUAAUUUUGUUAUUUAUUUAUUAGUAAUUUUAAAAAUAAAAAUAAAAUUAAAAAUUAAAAUGGGGAAAUGGGUAGGGGAUGGGGAUUCCACCUCAUCCCCGUCCCCUCCCCGAAUAAAAAAUUGGGUAAAAAUUUUUCCCGUCCUCUCCCCGAAUAAAAAAUUGGGUAUAAAAUUAUCCCCGUACCCCCCCCCCCCCCGAAUGAGGAAAAUCCCCGAGGGUACCCGUCCCCGUGGGAAUUUUUGUCAUCCCUAUUACGAUGUCACGAAGUCAAGACUCUGUCCUGCUUUCUGCUUCGGCGUUUGUGAUUUGGCUUUGCCAACACCUUCUUCCCUUUCUAAUAUUGUAUUUCCUCCUAUGGUAGGGUGAAUAUUUACUAAUGCUGCAGUGCACACGUCACGAGAACUGGGCUUUCGGUUUGCACAGAUCGAACCCUGGGCUCUUGUUAAGUUUUAGCGCCCCCCCCCCCCCCCCCCAAUACCCAAAUACCAUCCAAACGGAUAAAUAACAACAAUGGAAAAUUCUCAUAGCACCUCUUUUAAAUUUUAUUUUUUUUUCCUAAAAAAUGAUGCUAUAAAAAAAAAACCAUAAUUUUUACUCUUCGAACCUAUCUUUAUAUUCAACGUAAUUUUAUUAAAUCCUAAAUAUAUUCUCAAGCAAUGGAUUUUUGUAAUCAUGUUUGUUCUUUUGCUGGAAUUUAAAUUGCAAUGGCAGCUAGGGGUGGGCAAUUUAUUCGACCUGAUCCAAUCCGAUUAAAAAAAAAUCAAGUUAGGAUCGGAUCAGAUGGAAGAUAAUAUCCGAACGGGUUGGCUAAAAAAAAAAACACACGCAAGACACUCAAACACCACCCACUCAUUCACACAGUCACACCACUCUCAGCCCACUCAAACUCAAACCUACAACAAUGAGCAGCCUACAGCCAACACUCUCGUCUCUCUCAACUCAACUUCACUACUUCAGUUCUCAUCUCGCUCUCGUCUCUCUCUCAAGUCUCAACUCUCGAGAUUCAAGAAAGAAAAUAGAAUUGUGACAAACACACUCUAAAAUAUUUUGCAAAGAAAUAUCAAAUGGAUGAAAAGAUAUAAAUGAAGGAUUCCUAAACCAACAGAAGUGGCAGUGCCUUUCUUUAAGCGCAUUCUCAAUCUUGCACGAGUGACUGAUGUUACUUACAAGGAUGAUAAUGGCUACACCAAUUCUUAUGUGAUCAAAGACUAUAUCACCCACUGCUUGAGAAGCCUGUUCUCUUUUGAGUAGUUUUUGCGAUGCAGAUUACAUCCUAUAUAAACUAUUAAUGUUGUUUUUGGAAUAAGCUCUGAAAUUUGUUCCUCAGAGAGCUUUUUUGCUGCUGUCAUCACAAUUAUCAAAUUCUUCCGUACAAUUAGUAAAGGCUUCCCUGUUUAUAUAUAUAUAAAUAAAAGAAAUCACCCAACAUAGUGUUGUUUAACUGAAAAAGGAAAUUCAAGCAUCCAAAAUCAAAAUAUCCAAAAUGAAAAUAAGGUACCUAAUACUUGAAAGAAAGGGAUAUUCAAUACCCGUUUCAAAUCGUGCAUAAUCAUCUAGCAUGGCUCUCAUUGUCCCUCUGCAGCGCCGACUUUUUCCAUUAUUUUCUGCCCUUCUUCACCUUCGUCAUGAACCGAUCAAGACCGAAUGGAUCAGCUUCUUCAGCCUCCUUCUCAAACUUAACCGGUCCGUCCCUCGUACCAGACCUCUCAGAUGUACCUGCAAAUGCCUUGUCGGGUUUAAACCGAUCAGUCUUUCUAAUCUUCUCCAACUGCUCAUCCGCAUUUGCUCCAUAAAUUUCAGCAUCAGCAUCUUUUUUGGGCCUGUAAAGGGUUGAAAGAGUCGGCUGUGCUGUAAACAAGCCUUUGUCAUACACAUUAUACUGAUCACCGUCAGUGGCAAAACCAGAGUCCAUUCCUUUCUUCUGAUUAAAAAGCCUUGCGUCAUGAGUAACCUCACCCGCUCUGCCUCCGCCACCAAAAGAGGCCAUCCCAAGGGCAACUUUCUCGCUAACAUCCCGAUCUCUGUCUCUAACAACCUUACUAUUCUUCUUCCCCAUAGCAACAUCCUUGGCCAGCAAAUUUCUCUCCCUCUUCCUCUCGCGACGUCUCUCCUCACGAAUUCUCUCCCUCUCCCUUUCCCUCUCCCUCAGCAAUCCCUGCUCGCUUUCCUUCAAUGUCUCCAUUGCCUUACGUGCUAAAUCCCGUAGCUGCUGCUCUUUCCUUUCCUUCUCCUUCGUGAGCAUCUCCAUCUGCACCUUGAAUCUUAUUUCAAUUGCCUCCCUCGCCUUCUGCUCUGCCAAAUAAAGAGCCUCCGACAAUUUAGCAAAUCCCUCAUUUACCUGAACCUCCAGAAGCCCUCUUCCUUCGGCAGCGAGCUGCUUAUCCAGCGGAAUUGUAAACCGCUGUGGGUUCUUCCAAUUUGAUAUACAUGGUGGGAUUCUCCAAUCCAGCUGAUCUUUCACAGUCAUAGGCCUAGGAGGGGAAUGCAUGACCGGUACUGGCGGAGAUCCCGAAGCUUUCGGCACACGCUUGUGCUUCAACUUUGGUGGCUCAAGUGGGUCCAAAGGCAUCGCCACCACUCUCAAAAUCCUCCUUUUUAGGGAUGGCAAUGAAUUGGAUUUGAUCCAAGAUCCAUGUAAUUCAAAUCCAAUCGGAUCGGAUUUGGAUCGGUUUAAAAUAGAUUUGGAUCAGAUGUGCGGAUUUAAGACGAAUCUGGAGUAGAUAUGGAUCUAUCGUAAUAUUUAAAUCCAUAUUCAUAUCCACUCAUCUUUUAAUUUUAUUUUAUUUUAAAAGUUUCUUAAUAAUUGUGGAAUGAUAAUAUGAUAAUAAAUUUUAUUCAUAGCAUAUAUAGUAGUAUUUACCAUGUAUUUAAACUCUUUUUUUUUUUUAGAAGAAUGUAUUUAAACUCUUAAAACUUAAAGGUUAGUUUUGUAAAUUUAAAGGUCAGCCAGCCUCAAAGCAUGUACAUGCAAUAUUCAAAUUGCAAUCCAAGUAAUAUAACCUGGUAAUUUAUUUUAUCAUAUUGGCCAAAUAAUUUUUAAGGAAUAUAGUUAUUCAUAUAUUUAGUCAAAUAUGGUCAUAAUAAAAAUAAUAAAGGACUGAAUAUAAAUCAUAUUUAAUUUAUAUGUCAUUAUUUAAUGUUGUAGGAAUGAGGGUAGGUGUAUCGUGGAUAUUAGAAUGAUGAAGGAGACAAUAGAAUAUUAGAUUGAUCUUACUCCUGCAAUUACUUCUAAAUGAUAUUUUAUUAUCUUUCUUAUUUGUUGUUUUGGUAUAAAAGUAUAAGCUACAAUAUUUAUUAUAUUUUUUAGAAAAAUUAUAUAAUUUAUUUGUUAUCAAUACAUUUUAGCCUUCAAUUUUCAAUCUAAAAAAUUAUUACUUUUUUAUUACGGAAUUUUAGAAUUCAUGAUGGAUCUAGAGCAGAUUUGGAUUUUAAUUUUUUUUCAGAUUUGGAGCGGAUAUAGAUAUUUAUUUCUUUUUUGGAUCUGGAUAUGGAGCGAAAAAUAUGGAUUCAUAACAGAUCUGGAGCAGAUAUGGAUCUUGAUUUUUAUUAUGGAUUUGGAUCUGGAACAAAUACGGAUCUUAAUUUUUAUUAUAGAUUUGGAUCUGGAGCAAAAUAAAUCCAACACAUAUCUACCUCAUUGCCAUCCCUACUCCUUUUAGCCCCAGAAUAGAAGUCCACCGAUUGUUGUGAUGGUCUGUACAUAAUAAAUUUGGACUCUAAUGACUGCGUAGGUGCAGCAUUCACAACACUGUUAACAAUCUUUUCAAGUUCAGCUUUUGUUACAGGAGUAGUCACGUCAAUCUCAUCUUCUUGAUCAGGAAAAGCGCUACCAUCAUCAUCAUCGAAAUCCUCAAGUUUCCGUGGAAGUAUCACCAUGUUACAAAGAUUUCUUGCUUGUCAAUCAAGCCUGUGAUUAGUCCCAAGCAAUUUAAGGGUUCCUCAAGGGCUGAAAAAGAAUCUUGUGUUUUUUGUUAUCGUACACAACCAGCAAAUUUCUCUCCCAGUAGCGGCGACUCUGUUUUAAGAUUUGCUAAUGCUAUGCUAGUUUGCUAACUUGUAGCGGAGGUAAUCUCACUAAUGCUAAAACUAGAUAUCCUGAUGUAAAAACUUUAAACACAAAAAAAGUGCUCGUUUUGAAAAAUUAUUUGAGAUUACAACCUUAUUUAUUAGUUUUAAUUAUUACUCAAAAAAGCUAUUACAAUAAUUGAAAUCCUAGUCAAAACUAAAAUAAUAAUAAAAACUAAUUAAUAUGGCAACAGAUAAGACAAAUCCUAAACAAAUUAGAAAUACCAAUUAAAAAGAGGAAAAUUUCGGAUUAGAACAAAAAGAAAGGGCAAUAAUCUUUAUCCGUAUCCGUAGAAAAUAAGGAAAAUUUUUUAUGUAGAUAAUAAAGACUUGCCCACGGUAGUGUCCUAAGAAAGUAAGGAAAACCAAUCUAUAUAAAGAGACUUGCCUGUGCUUGUCGAAAAGCAUUAUACCUUCUUCUUUUAAUUAGCCUGCUAGCUAGCUCCUUAGUAAUCAGUCCCAAAUUUUCAGCUUUCUUAACUUCUUCUCCGUUACCUUAUUCAUCAUCUUCAUUAAAACAAGAAAACAGGAGAAAAAAAAUGCCUGGUGUUUCAAGAAUUGAUAAGGGUAAUGGCAGAGUGUACCCUGGAUACCUUACCCCAUUCGUCGCAAUCACAUGUAUCGUUGCUGCCAUGGGUGGCCUCAUCUUUGGUUACGACAUUGGGAUUUCUGGUAAAUAUAUUUAUACUUACAUACAUAUUAACUAGCUAAUUAAGUACUGUAGUAUUGUGAAUUAUGAGUUAUGCUGACGGUUUAAUCAAAAUAUUAACCUAGCUAACUGCAUAAAUAAUAUAACGCAGGUGGUGUGACCUCAAUGCCUUCGUUUUUGAAGAGUUUUUCCCAUCGGUGUACGAGAAGCAACAAGUAAACUCGUCAGCGAAUCAGUACUGUCAAUAUAACAGCGAGUCGUUGACUUUGUUCACGUCUUCGCUAUACUUGGCUGCUUUGAUAGCAUCGCUUGUAGCAUCAUCGGUGACAAGGAAAUUCGGAAGAAAGUGGUCCAUGUUAUUCGGUGGGGUUCUGUUUCUUGCUGGUACAUUAAUCAAUGGCUUGGCCCAAGACGUUUGGAUGCUUAUUGUUGGCCGUCUUUUGCUCGGUUUCGGUAUCGGCUUCGCUAAUCAGUCUGUGCCACUCUACCUCUCUGAGAUGGCCCUCUAAAUACAGAGGAGCCUUGAACAUUGGGUUUCAAUUGUCAAUCACCGUUGGAAUUUUAGUGGCCAACCUGUUGAAUUUUUUCUUUGCUAAGAUUAAGGGUGGCUGGGGAUGGCGUUUGAGCUUAGGUGGUGCCAUGGUCCCUGCCCUUAUCAUCACCGUCGGUUCAGUUUUCCUCCCGGACACACCAAAUUCAAUGAUUGAACGCGGCCAGCACGAUGAAGCCAGAAAGCAACUUAGAAAAGUUCGCGGUGUUAAUGAUGUUGACGGAGAAUUUAAUGAUCUUGUUGCAGCCAGUGAAGCAUCCAAGCAAGUUGAACAUCCUUGGAGGAAUUUGUUGAGAAGGAAAUAUAGGCCUCACCUUACCAUGGCUGUUCUGAUUCCCUUCUUCCAGUAAUUCACUGGCAUUAAUGUUAUCAUGUUUUACGCUCCUAUUUUGUUCGACACAAUUGGUUUCGGCAAUGAUGCAUCACUCAUGUCCGCUGUGAUCACCGGUCUUGUCAAUGUUUCCGCAACAUUCGUAUCAAUUUGUACUGUCGACAAGUGGGGAAGAAGACGUCUUUUCCUUGAAGGUGGUGCUCAAAUGUUAAUCUGCCAGGCCGUUGUUGCUGCUUGCAUCGGUUAUAAAUUUGGAGUUGAUGGGAAUCCUGGAGAGUUGCCUGUUGAUGCUUAAAUCUGCUCGCCUUUAGACCGACCAGAUUCUUUCACCAACGUUUGUGUUAUCUACUGUUGCUCGUUCACUGGGAUUGGAAUCGUCCUUCUUUCUCACAAUAGACCUGCGCUCACCAAAAACGGAUCAGAGACGCCGGUGGUUUUGCCGGCGUAAACCCUCCGAUGCUUAAGUUAGCUCAAGGUGUUUACGGGAAAACAGUGCAAUUUAGAUCUCAAAAUGGUUUCUAAAUUAUUCGGAGUUUAUAAGAAAAUAGCCUGAUUUCAAUUUGGCAGCGUUUCCCCUCUCUCAAUUUUUCCAUCCCCUUCUUCAUCGAUUUCUUCUUCUUUUAUAGCCGAUGUCCCCACGUUCCCGCUUGCCCUUCAUCCCACCUUUUUUGGGUAGUGGUAGCCUCUCAUGGGGCUCUAACUGCUGCAUUAUGGGCAAACGUGGGAUCUCGCGUCUCCCGCAACGGUUCUGGGAAAGCACAACUACCGUGAUUCUGUGAGAUCGUGUUUCCGCUUUUCGGGGGACGGGUACCGGCUCGGUAUGUGGCUCUGGUCAGUAUUCGUCUCUGAUCGACUCAUGUUACCCCUGUUCUGCUCGUACCAUUUGGCUGAGGUGAUUCAUGCCGGGGUGGAAGUAGUAUCCUGGCCGACCUGGUGCUUUUAUUUGCUUAACACCAGUCCCCCAGUUUCUGGUCUUGUGAGUGAAAUGAGUCAAGAGUAGAAACUGAUAGUCGACUCUUACCAAUCCGGGGGUUUCUCCUCUGGUCUUCUGUCUACCGGGACGAACCUGAGCAAUUCAUUUUUCUUCGGGUGAGAUUUUGAUCUGGGCGUGGGCCUAAAUGAGCAUGUCCACUGCGCACCUGGGCUUGCAUCUAGCCCGGCCUCUUGUAACGGUUGGUGACAUGGCAUCUCCCGAUUCUUCGCAUUUGAAAUUUGAAACGACGGGCUAUCUGUCCUCGAUGUACGGUGAGUGAGCUGGCGUCCCCAUCACUUAAAUGCUUCCAUUUCCCCCCUUUUCGUUUUAAAUCCCUAGACUGGAGUCUUCACCAUCUUGUUACUCGUUUCUCCACCGUUAACCAAAUUUUCUCUGGACUUUGCUCACACUUCCAGCGUCCGGAGUAUCCAUUUGCUGGGUGUUUUCUCUGUCGCGGCGGCUCUAUCAGUGUCAGUCUAUUCCAGGUAUAGCCUUUAACAUUUUCUUCGGCUGUUGUUGAUUGGGUUCUGUGUUGCCCCUUUGUGUCCAUAUACUCGAGUUUUCUCUGUCUUCUUUUGGGAUUCCGGUAUGUCAAAUCGGAAGAGGAAGUUAAUUGUUGAUGAGGGUGAUGACGAAUCAGGGGAUUCAGGCCUCAACGUGCCAAUACCCACCGAUUUUUUAGGUCCCUCCAGUAGUGUAGGUCCUCCUCAUGGUAGGGAUACCCUUGAGUACCCACGCCCCCUGGUUGUCUCUCCCUCUCCCGAAUUAAAGCUUGUAGGAAAUAGGGGUGGACCUGCGUCGGGCUCUGGUGAGAACCACAGCUUUGGUGGGGUUGGGAUCCCUGAAGGAGUUGGUGAUGGUAAGGGGAGCAGUUCCGGACCGAGCAGACCUGCUCAGAAAAGGAACCUAGGCCAUAGGGUGGAGGCUGAUUCCUACCCUAUUGAUUUCAUGGCUUGUGCCACCACCCCCACCGAUCUAUUUAAACUUAGGAAUCUCUACAACAUCCCCAACGAGGUUCUUCUUGUAGUUCCUGGAAAAGGUGAUGUCCCUAGUCGGCCUCCGAAAUGGUAUGUGACGAUGCACUUGGAGAGUUUCAGACUAGGAGCUCGGCUACCCCUUCAACCUUACUUUGCCAAGAUACUGGGCGGUAUGCACCUGGCCCCAGGUCAGCUAUACCCAAAUGGGUGGAGGGUUCUCUCGGCAAUGUUUGUGUUGUGGGAGAGGUGCGGGUCGGAGGAGCCUUCUCUUGUUGAAGUGAAACAUCUGUACCAGCUGCGGAGUAGCCCGAAGGAGGCAGGCUGGUACUAUUUCAUGUCCAGUUCCGCAAAGAGGAAACCGAUCACUGGGUUUCCAUCUUCAUGUAAAAAUUGGAAGAACAAAUUCUUCUUUGCUGGAGGGAACUGGUGUCCAGCGGUUCAGUCGCUUGGUGGGGACAUUUAUCUUCCCACCCAUUUUGUCACUCCAGGUCGUUCAUUUUUGCCUAUAUUCUUUCUCAAAUUGCCACUCAUUGGGUUCUUUAACCUUGUUUGUUUUUUCAGAAUCGUGGGGUUUGGUGAAGGAUCUUGAAGACCGACCUUUGCUUCAGGUGGAAACUGCUCUGUUGAACGCGUCUACUUGCCAAGACCUCCUGUCGCCAACAAACUUGGUCGGUUCCCGCUUAGUAGAUAUUGCCACUGGAAUGGAUAACAAGAUCCUCAGCGCGUUGAGCAGAAAGCGUGGUCGGGCUCCGAGUAGCUCCAGCAACCCUCCUCCUCCUCCAAAGAAACCCAUCGUCGGUCCUUCCAAGGCGCCAGUUCCUGCUCUGCCCCCUCCUCCACCUCGAAAGAGUGGUGGGGAUAAAACCUCCGACAAGAGUCCUGAGGUCAGCUUGCAGUCUGGGGACCGCUCUUCUCCUCUUCCAUCUCGGGAUCAAGGUGACUACCUGAGCCCAUAUCAGAAGGAUUACAGAAAAUCGGUUGGGCCCAAGAUGGUGAAGGACAUCGAGAGCAUGAGCCUCUCCGAGUUAGCUGUUUCUGUUCAAAGAGUCUCCUUCAGGCUGGCCACAAUGGUCUCGUGCUACAAGACCGGGUCCGCGCGUCAUGAGAGGAAGCUCCAAGCUGAUAACCAGGAGUUGAAAAAGAAAGUCGAAUCUGCUGACCGUUCCAAGGAGAAACUGGCCGAGCUGAACAAGCAGCUUACGGAGCUUGAGGAGAAAGUUGCUGUUGCUGAGUCCACUUCCUCCAAGCUUGAGGAUGAGUUGGGUGAUCUGAAGUCCGAUCUUCAGGCUACCCAAAGUGAAAGGGAUACUCUGAGGGUCGCCCUUGAAGGAGAGAUCAAAUCCCUGAAGGACCAGCUGGCUGAGGAGAAAAGCAAAUCAGCUGACGUGGAUGAUCGGCUGGAUGCCGAGUAUGACUCCGGGGUUGCUUUCAGCUAUAAGUGCAUCAUGUCUGUGCUUAAGGAAGAAUAUCACGAGCUCGACAUGAGCAAGCUGGAAUCUGGGGUGGAGAGGUAUAUGGCUGGGGCCGGCUAGGGAGAUAAGGAGCAGGUGGAGGUUCCUUUUGAUGAGGUGCGGGAGGAAGGAGCUGGUCAGUGUGUUUUUGAAGUGGGACAAGGGUACGCGCCUCCUCCUCCCGUUAUUGCUGAUCUUCCACCUCCCGAGAUAGCCGACGCUUCUCCUGCUGAGGCCGUUGACCUUCCUAAUCCUUAGGUCUAUUUUUGUAAAAAACUCUAGAUUGUUAUUCGCUUUGUAAACAUUUGAACAUUUAUAAAUUUUUAAAUGCUCUCAAUUGGCUUUCUUGUCUGGUUUUGCUCACGGGUUGCUUCUGCAAAACAACUUGGCAAUUUAUCUGAUUUUGCCUGUUGGUUUUUUAGUGCAUUGAGCAGGAAUAGGCAUCCGUUUGCCUUAGCGAAAUUUUCGCAAAAUUGCCUGCUGGUCUUCGAUGACCGAGCAGGAGCGGACACUUAUUUGCCUUAGUAGAAUUGUCGUAAAUUUAGCUGCUGUUUUUCGUUGACCGAGCAGAGGUAGGCACUUAGUCGAAUUUUCGUAGCUUUAGCUGCUGGUCUUUCGUUGACCGAGCAGAAGAAGGCACUGAUUUGCCUUUGUAGAAUUUCCGUAGCUUUAGCUGCUGGUCUUUCGUUGACCGAGUAGAAGUAGGCACUUGCCUUAAUCGAAUUUUCGUAGCUUUAGCUGCUGGUCUUUCAUUGACCGAGCAGAAGUAGGCACUGAUUUGCCUUUGUAGAAUUUCCGUAGCUUUAGCUGCUGGUCUUUCGUUGACCGAGCAGAAGUAGGCACUUGCCUUAGUCGAAUUUUCGUAGCUUUAGCUGCUGGUCUUUCGUUGACCGAGCAGAAAUAGGCACUUUGUUGCCUUAGUAGAAUUGUCGAAGCUUUAGCUGCUGGUCUUUCGGUGACCGAGCAGAAACAGGCACUUUAUUGCCUUAGUAGGAUUUUUUGCAGAAUUAGCUGCUGGUCUUUAGUGGACCGAGCAGAAGUUGGCACUUACUUGCCUUAGUAGAAUCUUCGUAGGUUUAGCUGCUGGUCUUUCGUUGACCGAGCAGAAGUAGGCACUUACUUGCCUUAGUAGAAACUUCGUAAAUUUAGCUGCUGGUCUUUCGUUGACCGAGCAGAAGUAGGCACUUGCCUAGGUAAAACUUUUAUUGAUUAGACUAGCAGGGGGAUUUCAUGCUGAAUUCAUCUUUAUUUGAAAUUUGAAAGCAUUACAAGAAUACUGGAUACAUACAUGUGCAGCAAAGCCAUGAUGCAGUUAACAUUGAUAUCUUGUCAAAAUGGAGAUUUAGUAGAGCACUUUGCUUACUGGAAAUACUUCUUCAAGUGUUCGGCGUUCCAUGACCUCUUCACUUCUCGUCCAUCUUGGUGUGCUAAUUUAUAGGCUCCUGGUCCAGUGGCUCGUAUCACCCGGUACGGGCCUUCCCACUUUGGGCCAAGAGCGCCAUGAUUAGGAUCCCUGGUGUUCUGGUUCACCUUCCUAAGUACCCAAUCUCCUGCUCGGAACUGCCUCACGCGCACGUUCUUGUUGUAAUAACGCAUGACCCUUUGUUGGCACUGGGCCACUUUCUGCACUGCCCCUUCCCUUUUCUCCUCCAGCAGGUCCAGACUUAAGCAAAUCUGCUCGUCAUUUUGCUCCUUAGUGAAAUAUUCCGUCCGAUGUGUUCUCACUCCAACCUCUGCUGGGAUUACCGCCUCAUGACCAAAGGCUAAAGCGAACAGUGUUUCUCCUGUGGUGGUUUUGUGAGUUGUCCUGUAGGCCCACAGUACUCCUGGUAGCUCGUCAACCUAAGCUCCCUUCUUCUCUCCCAAUCUAGUCUUUAGGAGCUUCUUUAUCACCUUGUUGGCUGCUUCCACUUGUCCGUUUGCCUGGGGGUGUGCGGGGGUGCAGAACUUCAGGUCCACCCCCAGGUUUCGGCAAAAUUCCCUGAAGUUGCCGUUGUCAAAUUGCCUCCCAUUGUCCGUGAUGAUGGCGUAGGGGAUCCCAUAUUUGCAGAUGAUAUUCUUCCAAAUAAAAUCUGUUGUCUUCCUCUCCGUGAUCUGGCUGAGGACUCCUACUUCCACCCACUUGGUGAAGUAGUCUAUUGCCACAAUUGCAUGUGUCGCCGCUCCUCGUCCCUUAGGCAAUGGACCAAUCAAGUCGAUUCCCCAUUGAGCGAAAGGCCAUGGGGAUGUCAUAGCCGUCAGCUUUUCCGGGGGUUGUGCAGGAACCUCGGAGAAGCUUUGGCAUGUUUUACAAUUCUUUGCCAUCCUUUUGGCAUCCUGGUGCAUGGUUGGCCAGAAGUAUCCUUGCCGGAGUGCCUUGAAGGCUAAAGUUCUUGCUCCCGAGCGAUUGCCGCAUAUUCCCUCGUGAAUCUCUCUCAGCACAUAAUCCGCCUCCUCAUCAUCCAAACAUCUCAAAAGGGGCAAGGUGAACCCUCGGCGGUACAGCACUCCAUCCAGUAGCGUAUACCUUGCUGCUCGGCAUUUUAAUUUUCUUGCUUGCCUUUUGUCCUAUGGUAAAACUCCAUCGCGGACAUAUGCGCGAAUCGGGUCCAUCCAGGAUUCUCCAGUACUUACUCUCAUCACCUCUGCUUCUUCCUCAAUACUUGGUGAGGUCCUUACCUCUAGUGGAACUGACUUCGGUAACUUUGGAUCUGCAAUGGCUGCCAUCCUAGCCAGCAUAUCUGCUCGGAAAUUCUCAUUCCGGGAUAUCUGCUUUACCUCCACUGCUUGGAAAAGCCCAACCAUCUGCUUCGCCUUCUUUAAAUAAAGACCCAUCUUCUCUCCCCUUGCUUGGAACUGAUCAUUGAGCUGAUUACACACCAGUUGGGAAUCUGCUCGAAUUUCUACCCUCUCUGCUCUUAGAGCGUGUGCAAGUCCGAGCCCGGUGAUAAAGGCCUCAUAUUCAGCUUGGUUGUUUGUGAGCUGAAAGUCAAACUUCACUGCAUACGUUAUUUCGGUUCCUUCUAGGCUCUGUAUUACAACUCCUGCUCCGGAUCCUUGCUCACUACAUGAUCCGUCAACCAUUACCAACCACAACCCCUCUGGUUUCUCCUGCUCUGCUGCUUGCUCCUCCCGAAUUUCUUUCCCUGUAUCGGCUCGGUCAACCAUAAAUUCAGCCAGAGCUUGGGCCUUGAUUGCUCCUCGGGGCCUGUAAGAGAGGUCGAAUUCACUUAGCUCUACGGACCAUUUUACUAGUCGACCCGAUGCAUCUGGUUUUUGAAGUGUUUGCCGAAGGGGCUGGUCGGUCAUAACAAUAACCUGAUGGGCCUGAAAAUAUGGUCGAAGUUUUCGUGCUGCCGUUAUUAGAGCUAGCGCCCACUUCUCCANNNNNNNNNNNNNNNNNNNNNNNNNNNNNNNNNNNNNNNNNNNNNNNNNNNNNNNNNNNNNNNNNNNNNNNNNNNNNNNNNNNNNNNNNNNNNNNNNNNNNNNNNNNNNNNNNNNNNNNNNNNNNNNNNNNNNNNNNNNNNNNNNNNNNNNNNNNNNNNNNNNNNNNNNNNNNNNNNNNNNNNNNNNNNNNNNNNNNNNNNNNNNNNNNNNNNNNNNNNNNNNNNNNNNNNNNNNNNNNNNNNNNNNNNNNNNNNNNNNNNNNNNNNNNNNNNNNNNNNNNNNNNNNNNNNNNNNNNNNNNNNNNNNNNNNNNNNNNNNNNNNNNNNNNNNNNNNNNNNNNNNNNNNNNNNNNNNNNNNNNNNNNNNNNNNNNNNNNNNNNNNNNNNNNNNNNNNNNNNNNNNNNNNNNNNNNNNNNNNNNNNNNNNNNNNNNNNNNNNNNNNNNNNNNNNNNNNNNNNNNNNNNNNNNNNNNNNNNNNNNNNNNNNNNNNNNNNNNNNNNNNNNNAGAUGCUUCACAUGAUCCGUCGUCUCUUUGGACUUUGUAAUCAUAUCAUCCACAUAUACCUCCAUAGUGUAUCCAAUCAACGGUUUGAAGAUCUUGUUUACCAACCUUUGAUAGGUGGCUCCUGCAUUUUUUAGGCCGAAAGGCAUUACCCUGUAACAAAACAAACCCAUGUUAGUUAUAAAGGCAGUGCUUUCCUCAUCCUGCUCGUCCAUGGGUAUCUGGUUGUAUCCAGAAAAGGCAUCCAUGAAACUGAGCAGACUGUGACCUGCUGUUGAGUCCACCAGCUGAUCUAUUUUGGGUAGGGGAAAACUGUCCUUUGGGCAUGCCUUAUUGAGGUCCGUGAAGUCCACACACAUUCUCCACUUCCCGUUGGCCUUUUUUACCAGGACUACAUUUGAAAUCCAUUCUGGGUACUUGGCUUCCCUUAUAAAUCCUGCUUUCAACAACUUCUCCACCUCGGCGUUUAUGGCCUCGUACCUUUCCUGGUUGCAGCAUCUCCUCUUCUGUCUCACCGGCCUUGCCCCCUUCUUGAUUGCCAACUUGUGGCAAGCUACCCCGCGAUCAAUUCCGGGCAUAUCUUCAUGAGACCAGGCGAAUAUAUCCGCAUGAGACUGUAGGCAAUUUACCAGCUCGCCUUUUACUGCCCCAAUCAAUCCUGACCCGAUCUUCACUACUCUGCUCGGGUUGCUUUUGCUUAUCGCAACUUCCUCCAGUUUCUCAACAGGCUCUUGGCGGCCCUUUUUAGACUCUCCUCGAUUAUCUAGAGAAGUAACCUGUAGUGUCUCCUUGGCCGCCGUAGCUUAACAACUCCUUGCCACCCUCUGGUCGCCUUUUACUACGCCAACCACCCCAUUUAUUCUGUAUUUCAGCGCCAAGUAAUGCGUGGAUACAACGCAUUGGCUUAUCCUCAUGAAUGGUCUCCCCAGUAUCAUCUGGUAAGGGCUUCUUUCCUCUACCACGACGAAGUCCAGCAUCAUCGUUCUUUCAAACGGCUUUGUCCCCACAAUAAUCGGGAGUUCAAUGAUCCCCAAGGGAGUUAACUGUCCCCCUCCAAAUCCUUUUAAGGAAGUAUUUGUCCGUUCCAGCUUUAAAUCUGAAAUCCCCAUAUCAUCUAGGGCUGACUUAAAUAGAAUGUCAACUGAACUGCCCGUGUCCACCAGUAUUCGCCGCAAUUCUGUGCUAGCCACCGAUGCUUUAAUUACUAGUGCAUCCUCAUGAGGAUAUAAAAUACCCUCUUCAUCCUCAUCUGUCCACAUAAUGGGAACUUGUCGCGCUUUUGCCUUCUUGGUUGCUGGCAAAUUGAAAAGCACUUCUUUGCUAGUCAGGGCGUAUCUCCCAUAGUUCUUCCGUGCCCUGUUCGAAUCUCCGGCCAAUGUUGGUCCUCCUGCUAUCACACGGAUAGUCGGCUGUUCACGUUCCAGAUCCCUCUCAACUCCCUCAUCCCGUGUGUACUGUGAUUCCAUGACAGGGGAUAUUCCAUCUACAUACUCGUCCAAGUAUCGGUUCCUCACUAAAUCCUCCACCUGAAUCUUCAGGUCACGACAUUGGCUGAUAGUGUGACCGUGAGUGUCGUGGAACUUGCAUAAUCGGCUCUUAUCCCGUCGGUGAGUCGGUUUUAUUAUUGGGGCUGGAGGGUACAACAGGCCUCGUCCCUCGAUCCUCUCAUACAAUUCCUCCAUGGAGAUCUUUAGCGGAGUGUAUUGUCUAUAUGCCAAGCUCUGGUCUACCAGCUGAACUGCUCGGCUAUCAUGAACGUCACCUCGGGAUGGCAUAGUCGCUGACUGAUCUGGUCGUCUAGCCCUGGAACUGGUUACGUGUAAUGCUCUGGGAGUGUUAUGAUAGCGGUCGGCAGCCAUCUGCCGGAAUUCUCGCUGCCGAUCCGGGAAUGGGGGACGUGGAGGUUGAGCCCGGUUGUGCUGGAACUGUUGUGAUCUCGGAGUUAUGGGGUAAGGGCGGGAUCGAGCUGAUGUUCCGCCCCUUACUGAGGGUUCCCCAGCUCGCUUUCCCGACCCGCUCCCAUUUGGAGUUCUCAUUUCCUUUCGUCUCAGCUCCUCCAGCUAUUCACUCUUUAUCUUUGCCGAUUUUUCUUCUUCGAUUUCGAUAUCUCUCUUUGCCUGCUCAUAUCCUGCUGAAUAAUUCUGCACCAGGGGGCUUCUCAGGUUAUACCAUAGCCGGCCUAUCCUCACACCCUCCUUUAAACCCCUCAACACCUGCGGGUGAUUGAAAGCUCCCAAAUCAAGUACGGCUCGGUGGUAUCGCUUUACAAAAUCCCGUAGGGACUCGUGCUCCUCCUGUUUCAUCCCCAUCAGUUCCAUCAUGUCGUCCUCUAGGGCUACUGCCCCUCGGAACUGCUCGGCCAACUCCUGGCACAUCUGCUCAUACCCCUUUAUACUUCCUCCGGGCAGCUUGCGGUACCAUUCUCGAGCUCGUCCCUCUAGUGUCAACGGGAACGCCCUGCAUCUCUGAGCUGAUGUCAGCCCCUGCACACCCGUCAUAUCGUUGAAACGCUCAAUGUACACCAGUUGGUCACUUCGCCCGGAGUAUUUGAGGUUGGGGAAGCGGAAAUCUCUUGGGAUUAUGAUACCCAUGAUCUCGAUUGAUAACAGAGAUUCUUCAUCUAACAUUAUCCUCCAGCUCGGGGGCUUUCUCUUGCCUUGUAUCUCCUCUAUCACCUGCGCCAACCUGCGCACCUCCCCCUCCAAUUCUAUAGCACGGCUAGGAUCACGCGCAGCUAUCUGGUCUCGCUUCUGCUCAGCGUUCUGCAACCGCUGUCUGAGCUCUCCUUCAUCAACACUGGCACCUCGGCCAGUAGUUUCCAGUACCCAUCCGGGGCGAGUUUGGUCUCUCCCUUCAUCCCCGUGUUCUCCUGGGACCCGGCCAGUACUUCUGUGGGGAUGCACCCCAUUAGGUUGGUCUGCGGGCGGAGGAAUGUCCUCGACUCUACGUCUCCGGAGGCUGGGUUCUGCUCCGACUUCAUCUCUUCCCACGGGGGUUUCACAAUCCCUUCUCCGCUCAUCCCUCAGCUCAAACAAUAUGGACGUGAGAGUCUCCAUUUGUUUCUCCAUCCGCUCCAGUCUGUCUUGCAUCAUCCUCUCUCGGGCUUCAUUCGCAAUUUCCCGGAGAGUGAUUGUCUCCCCAGCCUCGUUAUCCUCCCCAAAAGCGUCCUUUCUCGUCACAUCCAUGUCCAACCGUUCGCUAUUUCUCCGGUACUUCCUAAUUCGGUGGUAGCUUUUUAUCCAGCUCCCCACAGACGGCGCCAAAAUGUUGAUGCUUAAAUCUGCUCGCCUUUAGACCGACCAGAUUCUUUCACCAACGUUUGUGUUAUCUACUGUUGCUCGUUCACUGGGAUUGGAAUCGUCCUUCUUUCUCACAAUAGACCUGCGCUCACCAAAAACGGAUCAGAGACGCCGGUGGUUUUGCCGGCGUAAACCCUCCGAUGCUUAAGUUAGCUCAAGGUGUUUACGGGAAAACAGUGCAAUUUAGAUCUCAAAAUGGUUUCUAAAUUAUUCGGAGUUUAUAAGAAAAUAGCCUGGUUUCAAUUUGGCAGCGUUUCCCCUCUCUCAAUUUUUCCAUCCCCUUCUUCAUCGAUUUCUUCUUCUUUUAUAGCCGAUGUCCCCACGUUCCCGCUUGCCCUUCAUCCCACCUUUUUCGGGUAGUGGUAGCCUCUCAUGGGGCUCUAACUGCUGCAUUAUGGGCAAACGUGGGAUCUCGCGUCUCCCGCAACGGUUCUGGGAAAGCACAACUACCGUGAUUCUGUGAGAUCGUGUUUCCGCUUUUCGGGGGACGGGUACCGGCUCGGUAUGUGGCUCUGGUCAGUAUUCGUCUCUGAUCGACUCAUGUUACCCCUGUUCUGCUCGUACCAUUUGGCUGAGGUGAUUCAUGCCGGGGUGGAAGUAGUAUCCUGGCCGACCUGGUGCUUUUAUUUGCUUAACAUUGCCCAAGUGGUAUGCCUUUGUGGUCGUAAUUUUCAUUUGCAUAUACGUUGCCGCGUUUGCCUGGUCUUGGGGUCCUCUUGGAUGGUUAGUGCGCAGUGAAAUUUUCCCACUCGAAAUCCGGUCAGCAGCACAAAGCGUGAAUGUUUCUGUGAACAUGGCAUUCACAUUUUUGGUUGCACAAGUAUUCUUAAACAUGCUUUGCCAUCUCAAGUUUGGCCUGUUCAUUUUCUUCGCAUUCUUCGUCGUGCUGAUGACCAUUUUUAUCCACUUCUUCUUGCCCGAGACUAAAGGAAUUCCAAUCGAAGAAAUGGGUCAAGUGUGGAAGAAUCAUUGGUUCUGGUCCCGUUAUGUUGGCCAAGAUGAUUUCCUCGCCAAUGGAGGCCUAGAGAUGCACAAAGAAGAAACUGAUGUCAACAAUGUCUGAUCUGCAUGCUCAACUCCAUCCGGAUUUUUGUUUAGUUUCUAUUUUUAUUUUUUAUAUUUUUUAACAGUAAGUAGUAGUAGUACAGUUAUUCUGUCGGUUUAUUAUUCUAGCCUUAUCAAUGCCUUUUCUAUUCGACUUUAGUAGUGUUUAUUACAAUUUCUAAAGAAAUUAAUUUCAUGUAAGUUUUUACUUUAAUCAUUUUCCUUGUUUGGGUUCUCUGUUUUUCCUUUUUUUUUUUUUUUUUCAUCAGAAAUCGUCACUCUUACAAUUUGGACCAAGAAAUUCUUCACACAGGAAUCUGAAGAAAAAUUAACAAGGAUUGAAAAUUUUGACUUAUUGUUUAUCUUUUUUUUUUCUUUUCUCUUUUCCGUCUUCUCUUCUCAUUAAACAGACAUUAAGGCAAAAUUAAUAAAUUAUUUUAUUAUUGGUCUUAUCGUGAGUAGAAAAUCAUUGGUGCAAAUUCAAUUAUUUAGAUCAACAGAAAUUUUGGGAUAUGAAUCAAUGAGAAAAUUUUAAGUAUUCCUAAAAUAUUAUUCCUAUUUUAUCGUGAGUAGAAUAUGACCACCUUAUAUUAACUCAAGCUUUUUAUUUAAAAUUUUAACAUAAAUUCUCAUCUAUAAACUUUGUGGCAAAAUCUUAAGUUGAAAUAGGGAGAAAAAAAUCUAAAGAAUGUAUAAAAUUUGUAGAAAGAAAAGCCGCACGUGAGAUAUGUCAAAAUCAAAAUUCAUCAAUACAUCAAAUUUCAUAUACAUGGCAACUUAAACUCGCACAGUUCAAUGUCAAAAUUUAACUUUUAUCAAAAAGUAACGUUGCAUCCUCAUUUUACCUUUAACUCUAAGAGGUGUUGCAAUGGCCAAAGUAGCCAGUCAAUCUUUCUUUUGACGUUAUUUAAUCAUUCUGUACAGCAGAACACCCAUCAACUACUCUCAUCCUGGCCAUAGCUGCCUGCAUUGAGGAGUUGCUAAAGUUUAACAAUGAAAAAUAAAGCAACGAAAAAAUAAAUUUAACUUGAAUUAAUCAAGAACCUGUUUUUUCCAGUUUGUGAAAGUUGUAGCAAGAGAAAGAAGGGUGGACUGCACAACAGAGCCAGCCACUAUUCCGAUCCAAAGUCCCUUUCCUCUUAAAUGUGCUACAAAACCCAACACGGCACCCACUGGCAACCCAACUAAAUAAAAUGCCCCAAGGUUUAUGUACACCCUAUAUGCUGCCAUCCACACCCUUUCGCAACCCCUAUUGCAAACGUAGAAUCCACCUUUAUUAAGAAAUGAAAAUUUGAACCGCAUUUGAAUCCCAGAUGUUUUGUGGUUUGUGUAUUCAAGAGAUAAUUACCAACUGAUCUAGUCAACACCAACCUCUUGGAUGUAUACUUUAUAUGUGUGUGUCUAUAUAUAUAUAUAUAUAUAUAUAUAUAUAUAGCAUGUAUCUAUUUAACUAUUACGACAUUUACCAAAUGAUAUAUAAGUCAACAGUGACUCUUCAGUCUCCCAUAUUAUUAUCCAACAAAGACUUUAAUUGAAAGAAGUGUAAUUAGAAAGCAACUACUAACCAGAAAAAACAGCUUGUAAGCUGUCUGUAAUAACUGAGAGACAAAUCAGAGGAGCCAUAACAACAACAUAAUGCACAACUUGGUUGUCUUUGGUGUAAGCGUAACCCAAAAAAUAGCGGCAGCAGAAGAGGAUCGUGCCGACUAUCACUGCCUCUACCACAGCAUAACUUGUUGCAGCCCAUACAGCCACUCUAGCUGCUUGCAGAUUCCCAGCUCCAAGCUCAUUUGAAACUCGAGUACUAUACAUGACAUAUAUAUUAACAUGCACAUAGUCAAAUGCUAGCCUGCUCCAUUUGUAUUAUUUUAAAAAAAAUGCAAAUCACAGGGAGCAACCAAAAGCAAGAAAAAAAAAAGACCUUGCAGCUACUCCAAAAGCAUAUGGUAUUGUGAAGUGCAAUGUUGAAAUUGUAAGGCUGAUCAUAAAACAACAACGAUUAGAAGCAUAUACAGUUUAAUUCUAGGACAAUUUAUAAGUCAAAAUUAAAUAGUUAUAACUAAAAUAGGAGCUAAUUACCAAAUUGAAAGUACUGAAGUCUCCAGCUUGGGAUUCGGUAAAAGGCCGGAUAACAAAAUUAAGAUCUCCAUCGACCACCAUUUUAGACUAAUUAAUCACCAUAAUCGAUCACAAUAAGAGAGAGACUUUUGAGAUUAAAAGAGAAGAAACAACACAAAAAGCAAAAUUACCAUUCUAAGAGAUAAGAGGAAUAAUUACCAAACCAUUAUGGCAGAAGGUAUAGCCAAGCGAAAGAACUGUCCAAUGGCUAGUAAAGAUUCUUUAGAAACCGGCGCGCGAGUUUUCUCACAAGCUGAGGAGUACAUCAUGUACAAUCCGAGCAGUAUCACAUUCAACCAAGUUGAUAGACUGAAGGCUAGAGCUGCACCCAUGCUUCCUAAUUCUAGUUUGAACACAAGAGUCCAGCACGCAGGUAUAUGAAAACAUAGAAUUAGAAAAGAACUUGCAAACAUGGGAAGAAUCAAGCUCUGAGUCUGAAAGUAUCGGGUUAGUGGUUUCAGGAUUGCACUCCCGAAUAAUGCAGGGAUUAGCCACAUUGAAUACUUGCGUGCUUCGUGGGAGAUUACAGGAUCUUGGCCUAUUAGAGGUAACAAUUUGUCCAUAAAAAUCCACAACAGGCAAACUAGAGGGCAAACAAGAAUCAACGAAAUUAUGGCAGUGUAAGUAUGAACUCCAAGCUUCCGAAAUUGUGCUGCUCCAUAAGCUUGCCCACAUAGAGUUUCCAAUCCACCAGCCAUUCCUGACUGCUUGGCAAGUCCAAAUUAAAUUCAAUCAUUAAUCAUCAAAAUUAUCUCUAGGAUUAAUUAAACCUGAAGAUGAAGGUAAUGUGAGUAGAGAGCAGCAAACUUACUAGAAGACUAAAGCCGGUAACAUUUGUGAGAGAGGUGGCAAUGGCUACACUAGACAGGGCAAGCUGGCUUAGAUGUCCCACCAUUACCGUUGACACAACUUGCAGAAGGUACUGCAACACAGAGACUGCCACCAUUGGUGCCGCGAUACGGCCAGUCUUCUUCAGCUCUUCCAUAAAUCCACCCCAUGUAAUUGCCCAUCUCUUCUCCUGGCUCUCUCCAACUUCCAUAUCCAUGCAAAAUUGAUAAAUGAUAAUAAUGAUGGUAUCUUAGUUUGCUUUGCCACUAUUAAUAAAAAGAGCCAAUCCAAAGAAACACGAAGUUUGUAUGCUGUCCUCUGUUUUGGCUUUACUUGAGAAUUCAAUAUUAACGAUUUUAUGUUUUGACUGUUCAAAAGAGCAUGCCGAGAGGUUCAAAUUAGUGGACUCUAAUUCCCAACUUUCUGUUGUUUAUAAUCAUUAUUAUACAUUCCCCACGAGCACGGCACAGACAUGAGUAAUGCGGCAAGGGUGCGUUUCGCACACUGCAUUGUAUUAUGUUGUAUUGCAUUAUUUUAAUAUUGGUGUAUUAUAUUAUGCUGUAUUGUAUUAGCAUUGUAUUAUAAUAAUGUUAUAUAAUGUUUGGUGUUAUACUGUACUGUAUUAUUUUUUUAAUUAAUUUAAAUUAAAUAUUAUAUUAUAUUAAUGUUUUAUAUUAUAUUAAUAUAUUUAAAUUGCAUUAAUAUUUUAUGUUAUUAUUUAUAUUAUUAUUAAUUUUAAAUUAAUAUUAUUCAAAUUUAUUCAUAUUUAAAUAUUUUUAUUAGUUAUAAUAAGUUAUAAAUUUAUUAAUAAAUUAUAAUGUAAAAAUAAAAAAUAUACUAUUAUUGAAUGAUAAAUUAUUAAUUUAUUAAUUAUAUUAAUAAUUAUAAUGUAAAAAUAAAUAAAAUAAAAAUAUUAUAUUAAAUUAAAAACCAUAUUUAUUUAUUAUUUUAAUAUUAUAAUAAUAAUAAAGUGAAAAGCAAAAUAAAAUUAAAAAAAAAAAAACAAAGCUAAUGCGUCAGUUGACGCAUUAGCCUCCCACCCCAAUCCCUUGCAAUUUUAUUCCAAACAUAGGUUUGGUAUUAUGUUAAUGUAAACAGUAUUAUAAUAUCCCCUUAAUACUAUAAUCAAACACACCCUAAGAUAAUUGCUGGUGUUUAAUCGGUCAGAUUUUUCAUCUUUUCUCGAUCUUUUGAAAAAUCAUAAUAAUGAUUAUAAUAGAUCCCCAGACACGUAGAUGGGAUUGAGAUUUUGUCUGAUAUGGCUUGAUUUGAAGUAUUUUUUUAUAUCUGCAAUUCUGCAUAUAGUAAGUACAAUCAUAUCUUCUGAGUGAUAGACUUCAUUUUUGGCCGUUCUGAACAAAAACUAUGUUCAAUGACAGUACUGAACUCUAAAUUUCAGUGGAAUAUAAUAAAGGAGAGGAAUAAAAAAGCAUAUUGCAAAUUGGAUGUACUCUCUCACAUCUGAAUCAUUUAAUAAUUGCUUUUGGAAGCACAUUUUUGACUAGUUACUACAUAAUAUCAGCUUAGAAGAAACAGAUGCGAUUCCCCUAGUGGCUUUCAAAUUGCAAUCAGUUGUACGCGAGCGAUUCCUUAACAGAUGAGAAGAAAGAAAAAUGGCAAAAAAGGAAAAAAAACAAUUCUGAUGUUUUCAGGAGUCAGUAGAUGCUGUUGAAAUACAUAUUUUUCACUGUCCUCCCCUUAACUAUGUUAGACUUUAUGUCUAAAUUCGCACUUGUCUCCCAAGAUUUUGAUGGACUGUUAACAUGGAUGACUAAAUGAAUAAAAAUACAUAGACGCCCCUGAUUUGAAGCAAAAUCACCAUGCCAGGAAACAAAACAGCUCGUGUAUAAAGAGAUGACAGUGUUAAUUUCGACAAAAAGAAACUGUGGGUUGGACAAAAUCCAUGAGAGGAUAGUGAAAAAUAUAUAUUUUGAUAUAAUGUAUAUAGUAUAUCAUUUCAAAACUCAAAAGUCGUUUCGUUCUUUAAAAAAAUUCCACUGCUUUAAAAUUAAAAAUCACAUUUAUAAUUAAUUUUUUUAUCAAGUUCUAAAUCCUUUUAUUUUGUCAACAUCCUAAAAUUAUAAUAAGAAUUAACUAUGCUUUGAUUGAUAAAACUAAUGGGGAUUUCGUUCUUAUUUGAUAAAAUCAAUAGUCAUUUCGUUCUUAUUUAAUGUGUUUCCAACUUGUGAGCAAUGGGAGGUAGAAAGCAAACUUGUCCACUUUCAAUUCCCAAACUCAUAAGAAUCAGACCUUUUUUUUUUCAAAUGAUCAAAUAAAUACAAUUGGCUACUUUGACAGACAGGAACAAUACAAGUGUCUUAACAUGUCGAUCAAAUGGCCAAAAGUAAGACGCAAUCCCUAAGUCUAACUUACAAUUGCUAAAAAUAACGUAAAAAUGGACCAGUAUCAUCAUUUUACCUCGUCUUUAAUGGUUGUCAGUUACACUAAAUAUAUUUUAAGGAGACAAUAAUAAUAAUAAUAAUAAUAAUAACAAUUUGAGUAGAAAUUAUCACGAACAUAUUCCUGCAUAUCUUAACAUCUUCAAAGAUAUGUGACUUAUUGAUGUGACGCUCCAUUUUAUCAAACAGUUGCAUCAGAAAAUUCUGAAGGGACUACAAAUGCCUUUUGAUGCAUAGAAGAUUUACAUUACUGACAAACCAAGGACAAAGCAGAAAGAAGCAAGUUUCGAUUUGUUUCUCAGCCAAAAAUCAAGUUCUUCCAUUAUCUUCUGUCUACUUCUUCCCCUAUUAACUCCAAUUUUUGCUCAGACCCUUGGUUUUGGAAUUGGGCAAGUAAUUGGAGGAGUCAAAGAGAAAGAAAGUAAACAAAAUAUAAAUAUAUAUAUCAGCAACUCCCUAGAUCUAAUCUGCUUCUGGCUCAGUUAGGUGAUCAGUCAUUAAGAUCUAUUGCCUCUCCACCUUCUUACUAGUACUCCCAGCCCUUUAGAGCAAAUUAUUAAACCAACCCUCGGAAAGUUCAGACACAUCCUUUGUAUUCCAACUGUGCAAGUGUAAUGUUAACCUAAGGUUCUCUUUCUUUUCAUUUGUAUGCUUGAAGAAAAAUCAACAAGAAAAUGCAAUACCAGCAGGUAUUAUUUGUAAUUCAUAUGGAAAUUAUCAUUAACAUAUGCCUACAUAUCGAAAUCUUCAAAAGGUUGUCAGAGUUUAUCCGCAGCAAUCCAAUCUAUUUUAUCAAAGACAGAAAAACUUAUGUUCAAGCAGAACAAUCAAAAGGGAAAGUAAAUGCCCGAAUUUUGAGCUAGCACCAAUAAAUUGAAGAUGUACAUUAUUGACAAGCCUAGAACAAUAUCAGCUUGAAAAGAAGCAGAUAAAAGCACAUAUUUAGACAAGAGAAACUUACAAACUACCUCAGUUUUUGUGCUGCAGUUGGGACACCAGAUGAACUCAAGUUGGCCCUUUCUGAAUCGUUUGCUGCACGAAAGCCAGCUGUAAUAAAUGUUACUAUUGAUCCCUAUGCCAGUACAAACUACCUCAGUUUUUGUGCUGCAUCCUACCACUUUCUGCACCGGCAUAGGGUUCAAUAAUAACAUUUAUUAAAGCUGGCUUUCGUGCAGCAAACGAUUCAGAAAGGGCCGACUUGAGUUCAUCUGGUGUCCCAACUAAAUAUCCUUUUCCCCCAAAAGCUUCCAUGAGCUUAUGAUAAGCUGCACCAGGUACAAAAGAAGUAGGUGCAGGAUCAUCUUUGAAAGGCCCUGCAAUUUCUUCAGGGUUUCUGCGAUCUCCACCAUACACACCACCAUUAUUAAAAACUAUCACGACAACAGGCAACUGAUAUCGAACCAAUGUCUGCAAAAUCAGAAGAAACAGAGACCACAUUAGUCUCUUUUUCCUCUCCCACCUUUUUCCAUUUAUUGGAUGAGGAUAUGCUAUACGUAUGAAUCAACUUUGGACUUAGACAAAGUAAAAUUCAUUUAUUCCAUUAAUUGAUUAACAUUGACACACUAUCUUCUAAAAAUUCAUUUAUUCCAUUAAUCAAUCUUCUAACUACACAGAUAUGCAAACAUCCAAGUGCGAGCACAUCACAAGCACAAAUUCUCAUUUUUCAUUCAGAAGGAAAGUGAAAAAGAGGGGGGGAAAAUGGAAGGUAUCUACAAUAAAAAACCCUCAUCUAAGUCACACAUCAAUGAAGAAUGCAAUAGAAGAAAUCUUUCCACUAAAUACAGAAAGAUGCACCAAGAACUACCCUUCUGAAAGCAAGGCAGCAAUUACGCAAGUUCGGAUUAGCUAAAACUAAAUCCGACAGUGGCCAUAUAGCAUUUGAUAAUUACAAGACUACUCGUUCACUAGAAUAGAACCAGCAUCAAAAGAAACUCAAAUAUCCAAAUCGUAAGAAAAUUAAGGAUAUAUUGAGAAAAGGAAGACACAGGGGAUAAAAGCCAUUUAGGAACCGUACCAUCAACUAUCGAUCCCUGAGAAAAAAGGAAAUGAGCUAGGAAACUAGAUAAAGUAAAACCUAAACAGUAUGUCCUAAAAUCAAGAAGCCAGACUGCCUGUAAUGAGCAAGCGAAGUUUUCCAAAUUUGUGACCAUCAUCCCAGUAAAUAAUGAAAUGCUUUAGAACGCAUGAUAAAGUUGAUGCUGGCACUCAAAGCUUUAAACAAGCAAGAUUUGACUUCCCAAACUAAGGUAGUCAGUCUCUCCCAUCAAAUAGAGAAGGAUCCAGUACAAGCUGAUGAUCAAAACUUAGAUUUGCCUAUAUCCACUUGAAACUGCAUCAGCCUUCAAAUUCUUCAAAAGUUAUUACCAUAGGAAGACAACUCACAAAUGUCCUAAAUCUUUAAAAUCUAAUAUUAGACCAUUGGAGAUGUGCCGCAGAUUUCAAUAUUAAAGCGAAAGUAGAAUAAAAUGGAACGCUAAAGAGAAUCUUAAAAUAACAAAAUAAUCAUAAAUGACUAGCAAUUUGCAUCAUGUUUGUUGAUGAAUUAAGGAAGUCAAGCAUGGUGUACAAGUUUAUUCUUGUGAAUAAAAUGUAUGCAUAAAUAUCGUUAUAUGCUAGAGAUCAUAAUUAUGCAAGAGAGCCAUACCUCAACCUCAACCGCACUGAACCCAAAUCCAGAGUCUCCUUCAACAGCAACCACAAGCCGUUCAGGGCAAGCUAUUGCAGCAGCAAUGCAAUACCCUAAACCAACCCCCAUGGUCCCCCAAGUCCCUGCAUCCAGCCUACAACGAGGCUCAGUUUGAACCAAUACUGCCCUACCCACAUCCAUAGUAUUUGCCCCUUCAGAUACCAAUAUAGGAGCGGGGCUCCCGACUCCUAAGAUCGCAUCUCUUAUAAUCCUCAUUGGCGUCAUGAAAUUAAACGGCACAACAUCCUUCACCAACUGAACCUCCAUUUUCAACACAUUGUCAUUCGUUUUCUUCCAAAUAGCCUCAACCCAAGGAUGAUUUUUCCCCAAACAAAAAGGUUCAUCUUUAAUCUCCUUAUUAAUCAUUUCCAACACUUUUUUAGCAUCUCCAACCAAACCCAAGUGUGGUUUCCUUAACUCAAUCUCUUCCUUGCAAACAUCAACCAAAACAAACUUCACAUCCUUCGACCACUUCGGUGGCUCACCAAAAUGCAACAACCAAUUAAGCCUCGCACCAACAACAAGCGCAACAUCACAUUGACCUAUGGCUAAUGACCUCGCAGCGGUAGCAGCAAGCGGAUGGGUAUCAGGCAACAGACCUUUACCCAUUGGAGUAGGCAAAAAUGGAAUCCCAGUGCUUUCAACUAAUUUCUUCAAUUCACCCUCAGCUCGCGCAUAAGCUGCGCCUUUCCCAAACACAAUCAACGGCUUCUUUGCUUCUUUAAGCAAAGACACCGCUUUAUCGAUAUCAGAAUUCACAAUCCCCCCUUGCGUCACCGUUUCUUUGGCACUCUCCGCUUCCUUCAGAAGCUUCUCCGCUUCAGAUACCGAUAUCGUUUGAUGUAAAACAUCAGUGGGUAGAUCCAAAUAACACCCGCCGGGCCGCCCCGAAACAGCUCGUUCAAGAACCUGAGCGACACACUUGGGAACUUCCGUAAUGUCCUUCGCUUUUACAGCAAAUUUCGAAAAAGGCUUGACGGCUUCCACUUGGUCGAGUUCUUGAAAAUCGCCGCGGCCAAAAUCUUUCUGAUCGCAGGAGCCGGAUAUCAUGACGAUUGGCCACGUGUUAAUCAUCCCAUUCGAGAGACCAGCCAGACCGUGCACGUAACCCGGACCGGAAACAGUUAACAGAAUGCCGGAUUUUCCAGUCAGGUAUCCGUAGGCGGAGGCGGCGUAGCCAGCGGACUGCUCAUUGUGGAAGGCGAUGAACCGGACGCCGAGCUGGACGGCCCGGUUCGCUAAGGAAGUAACGGGAAUGCCCACCACGCCGAACAUGUGGGUGGCACCGAAUAGUGACAAGGAUUUGGCCGCCAGGGUGUUGCCGUCGAUCUGGGCAUUUUGGGAAUUUUGCAACUCCGAACCCGCCAUUGCUUGCUAGAUGUGUGUGUUUGUGCUAAUGCCCGAGUGAGAAGUGGACGGGGCAAGGGUAAACAAUUUUUUUUUUUUUUUUUUACCACGAGUUAUUUUGGGGUGGAUUAACAGUGGGAGAUACUUCAAGUUCCUAUCAUAAUUUAGAGAGAGACACUUUUAAGUUCGUACCAUAAUUUAAAUUAAAAGUUUAAGUUCUCUUAAUAAAAAUAACUUUUCUAUAACUUAAAUUAAGGAAUAAAUUCAGUCAAACCACUUAAGAAAAAUUCAUUGUCAAUGGAACAACACUUUAUUGGUAACAAAUUCAGCUUUAGGUUGUUGAUAUAUACAUAGGUAAUGGACGAAAUGUCUAUCAUGCCCUUUCCGGCGAUGGUAGCUGGGACAGGUGCCAAUUUUUUUGCAAAUGCGACCAAAAUGGAUAGCUUCACCCAUAAAACGACAUAACUGGUAGUAGGUAUAGCGACAAUGCUUUCCCGAUUAUCAUUAUAUUUUUCUCUGUAGUUAUAAAUAAAGGUGACAAUUUGUUUCCAAAAGUAUCGUUAUUAAUCCUCAUCCGUUGAAUUAUAACACGUAAUUAUUACUUAGGGAUGAUAUUGCUUAAUCGGAAAGAAGGAUGUAAUAACUUUAAAAAAAAAAAUACAUAUGACAUAUAAGAGCAUCAUUAGAAAAUUCUUUUAAUUUAAUUUUUUAAAUACUUAUUUAUUUAUAUAUGUUAUAAAUAGAAGAGAGAAAAUAUCAUUUCUCAUAAGACUUUUCAAAUAAAAAUAAAUUUAUACUAUUUUACUCAAAUUUUUUCUUUCAUUAAAAUAAUAACAAUUAUAACUAUUCCAUCUCUUUAAAAGUAAUGAAAUAAAAAAUAAUAUAGUACGAAAUUAAGUGUUCUAAAAGACUCUCUAAAUAAAUUUUUUUAAAUUUCAAUAUGGACAAUUUUAUUUAAAAAUUAUUUAAAAACUCUUUUUAUUAACAUAACUCUUUAAAUAAAUAGUAAAUUUUCAUUAAAUUUUUUUUUUAAAAAUGUCUAUAACGAGAAAAAAAAUAUUAAUAGCAAGGGUUUGGCUAUGUUGGAGUUCACCUACGGUGGAGAACGAAUCUCAGCCACAUACACAAAAUGAUAAAGAAUAAAUAAUGAGUUAUAAUGAGUUUUUUAAUAUUUAUUACUUUGCGUGUGUGGUUGAGAUUCGUGUUCCACAGUAAGUGAACUCUAACAUAAUCAUAGCCUAACAACAAUUACCAAAUCAAAUCUUUGAGCACAUGAUUUUAUAUGGGCUUCUACAAAUUGUGGACAUCCAUAAAUAAAUUAGAGUUCAUAACCGAUUCUUGCUCUGACAUAUUCUGUUUAAUUUUUAAUUUAGAAUUUCUCAGUUACAAUUUACAACUCUUAUAUUCCUAUACAUGAAUUGCAAUGCCUUGGAUGCUUGUGUUGAAAUAUGAUGCAACCGAAGCAUGUGUGACGUUGUAUGACAUGUCAUGUAUAACGAAAAAAAAUGUACGACUUGUCAUCCUUAAACUAAAAGACACGUAUGACAAAAAAAAAAUGGUUAUCUCCAAUUUAUAUUUCCGAUUACAAUAGUCAUUGAUUCAGUGCUCAGCAAAGUUAAAUCCUAGUUCUAAUAAUAUACUCAGGGUUUUAUUUAUUUAUUUUGUAUUUUUAGAAAAAAAUAUUUGACUAACAAUCAUCAAGAUUGACUAACAUAUAUUACUUGACAACAAAUAAAGAAACUACUGCUCAAGAGACACUUUCAACAACGCAUAGACGUGAGGUAAAUAACAAGAGUGAAUAGACACUUAGGUAGUGUUUACUUGUUGUAGUAGGAGUAAGGAGUCUGGAUUCCUCCUACUCCAGUGUUUACUUACUAAUUUUAAAGGAGGAGUGAGAAUCCUACUCCUUGGGACCCACUUUUUUUUGGAGUGGGGAGUGGGAAUCCACUCCCCUCUCUUCCAUUUUUAUCCUAAUAUUUAAUUAAAUAAAAUAAAUAAUAUUUAAUUAAAUAAAAUAUUAUUAUUAUUUUAUUUUAUAAAUUAUACUUAUUAAAAAUAAUAAUUUAUAUUGAUUCUAAGUUAAAAUUACUUAAAAAUAAUAUUAUUAUACUCACAGAGAAUUAAUAAUAUUACUAUAUACUCUUUUUAUUUGAAAAUAUAAUAUUAUUAUAUUUAUUUAAAAAUAAUAGUAUUAUAUUUAUUUAAUAUUAGUAAUUAAUAAUAAUCAAUAUUUUAUUCUAAGAAAAUAUUAAUUUUGUAUUAUAUUAUUAAUAAUAAUGUUUCAUUUGUGUUGCUCUUAAUAAUAAUUUUUUAUUUACAUAAUUAAAAUUAAAUUUAAUAAAAAAAUAUUUACAUAAUUAAGAAUAUUAUUAAUUAUUAUUAAUUUAAAAAUAUAAUAAAAUAAAUAUUUUAUUUUUCAAAUCUAUUUUUUUAUUAAUUUUGUAAUUAAAAACUAUAAUUCUUUAAAUAAGGAUAAAACUGUAAUUUAAAAUCAUUUACUCUCAAUUCUAUGCUCUCAUUCCAGUGUAAGUAAACAACUUAUUCCCACUCCCACUCCAUACUCUACACUCCUAAUCCCAAAAUUCUCACUGCUCAUGAUUCCCACUCCAAUCUAAAAUGUAAACGCACCAUAAUUAAUUGAUUGAUAAUCGAAGUUCGAAGCCUCAGUGUGCUAACAAGCAGUAAAGUCAACAACACUAAGCUAUAAAUGGCAAACGUUAAUGCUCAUGAUGACAUCCAAAUCAAGUUCAGAAUCGUUGAACAUUUGAAAACAAUCACAACAGGAAGCUAUAAAUGGCAAAAGUAUGGAGGUGCCACUAUUGCCUGAGAGGGAAGAAGAGAGGAAAUGGGUGGUGGUGGUGCUACCACGGCUAUCCUUUUUGGAAGAGCUGAAGACGUUGAGCUUCUUAUCAGCGCCGCCGGCAGGGGUGGCCUGUUUUCGGUUCUUUUUGCUGGCUACAGCAACGAUGAUGGUGGGACACCUUGGAAAACUUUCACUUGAUAGUAUUGCCAUUGCUAACUCCUUAAUUAAUGUCAUCGGCUCCAUUCCACUUGUAAUAUUUUCUUCAUUCCCUUUUCUUUUUACCAUUAGAAAACUGCUUUACUUCUUCUUCUUCUUUGUUUCACAUCAAAGCAUGCUUCGUUUAUUUAAUCUAAUGACACUGCUUUGUAUGCCUUUUGUUUUGUAGCAAGUUAACAAUUUGCUUGUGCUCGCUAGAAAAUUGUUUAAAUGACUCAAUAUAAUCCACACAGCAAUAAUAUAACAAUAGCUAUUUUUAAAUCCAGAUCAACGACAAGCAACCACAACUAUAUGGUUAAACAAGUUAAAUCAAGCUCGUUUAGCUAUAAUAAGCAAUCAACUUUAGAACUUUAGCUUGACUUUCAUAGGUGAGAAUACCAAGCAGGUCUAUUUUGACUAGGCUAAGAUCAACAAAUUAAUAAACUUUGAUUAAUUAUUGGCGAAGAAUUAAUCAAUAUUACUUGGAAGAUAUUAAGAAACUUUGUUCACCUUUUCUGUCACUGGUCCAAAUAAUUUAUGAAGUACUUUUUUGAGCCUUUUUUUUUUGGAAAGGUAGUACUUUUUGAGCUUGAACAAGCAUUAUUAUAACUGAUCUUAGUUUACUCCAUAUUUUCCAUGCUACCGCUGUUUACAUAAAACGGAUUUUGGGAGAAUAGCAUAUAUUUCAUCAAUAAUCAAUUGAGACAUAUAAGAUUAGCCAACAAAAUGAUAUCUAAUGUGGACAAUGCCAUUAAAUUUUGAGCAGUUUGGUUUUGCCUCUGCAUUAGAGACUCUAUGUGGACAAGCUUAUGGAGCAGAGCAAUAUCAAAAGAUUGGAACCUAUACUUACCCUGCUAUGUUCUUUUGCAUUGCAAUUUGUAUCCCCAUCUCUGUUCUUUGGAUAUUCAUGGACAAAGUACUAAACUGCUAGGCCAAGACCCUGAUUUUUUUGUCGAAGCCUGCAAUUACGCAAUUUGGCUCAUACUGACAUUAUUUGGCUAUGCUAUUCUUCGAUCACUAUCUCACAAUCUCCAGGCUCAGAGCUUGAUUCUGGCAUUGUUCUUAAGCUCAUGUGCAACUCUUUGUUUGCAAAUUCUUCUUUGUUGGGGUCUAGUAUCUAAAACAGACUUUGGAAAUACAGGAGCAGAAUUAACCAUAGGUAUUUCUUAUUGGUUCAAUGUGAUCAUCCUUGCACUUUACAUGGGAUAGAACUCACACGGUGAUCACCAAGGAAAUUUUCCCUAGCACGAAGGAGUUCUCCUUCUUUGCACACCUUUCAGUUGUAAUGUUUUGGUAAUUUGCCUAUCGUACUUUGCAAUGUUUUUGUUAGUUUUCUGUUCUUAUAAAUUGACUUACAGUGUGCCUUUUGUUUCCAAUAACUAAAGUCUCGAAUGGUGGUCAUAUGAGAUUCUGGUACUGCUGUCUUGAAUAUUACCAAAUCCAAAACUUGAAACAUCAGUUCUUACAAUAUGGUACGUAUCUACACUUACGGUUUUGACUUUUGAGUAAACGGGGAAAAUUCUCAGUAGGGUUGAAUUGAUUUCCUUUGCUCUUCAUAUGCAGCGUUACAAUCCAGUCAACACACCAUUUUAUGCCAUUUGGUAUUAGUGCUGCCGCAAUGUUUGAUCUAUAUGUUGUUUCAAAAGCAUGCACUUACGAGUAAAUGAAAUAAUUCAUUACCUACUAGUUAAAAAAACCCUGAUUAAUUCUGUGUACUGAGCUGUAUCGCAAUCCACCGUUGUGCAGCACUCGAGUGGCAAAUGAAUUAGGAGCUGGAAAUCCAGAACCAGCUCGAUUGUCUACAUGUGUCGUGAUAUUUCUUGCAGUUGCAGAGGCAGCCAUAGGAAGCGUAGCUCUAUUCUGCUGCCGCAAUGUUUUGGCAUAUUUGUUCAACACUGACAAGGACGUUGUGAAUUAUGUGUCUGAAUUAGUUCCUCUGCUUAGCACUGCCAUUUUCAUGGACAGCAUGCAAUCAGUACUUUCCGGUCAGAAUCCCAUCAUUCUGUCAGGACUUUUAUUUUCACUCUUUUCACUCAGCUAGUGCUUCAGAGCUUGAAAAAGAUUUGAUGAUUUAUUUCUCACCAUUCACUUUCCUUAUCACAAGUAGCUAGAGUAAUUGGGUGACAGCACAUAGGAGCUUACGUAAAUCUUGGUGCAUUUUAUCUUGUUGGAAUUCCGGUAGCAUCUGUGCUAUGUUUUGUUCUUCAUCUUAGAACAAAAGGCCUUUUGCUCGGAUUAAUCAUUAAUGCCAGGCUCAACUGUCGCAAUUGCGCUCGCCAUCGUUACUUCUUUAACAAUUUGGGAAAAACAGGUUUCUAUUUCAUUUCACACUUUUUUCAAAUUAUCUGCUUCUUCAGCAGUGAGUUAUCCUUUAAUUUUGCUGGCUGACAUUGAUCUUUCAUGUGGAUAUCUUUCCAGGCUACCUUGGCCAGAGAGAGAAUAAUUAAGGGAGCAUCUUCAACUGAUAAUAGAUCGGUUCGAUGCAAAACGUAAUUAAACAUUUUGUUUCCAUCGUAUCAAAAUUUCUUAGGAUGUGAGCUGCGAGUAUAUACUGUUACAAAACCAAGACCAAUUUUGGACAAUGCUAUUGUUGUGGCAAUUAAUUUAUCGAAAACUUGGUGUGCAGAAGCAAACCCAAGAAUUUUAAGAGCAAACAAUGUCCAAAUCACCAAUACAAUCAAUUUUGUGAAAUUGAUUCACAAGGCUACGUCCUCGGAUAAUUCCUAGAUUUACCAUGAAAUUUUACAUUUAAAAGAAGCAUGAUAAACAUCCUUUAUUUUAAAAUUAUGGAUUCUCUCAUGAUUUAAAUUCUCGUAGGAGCAAUUCAUAGUGGUGAUGGUUAUUAAUAUAUAAAAAUGUAAUGAUAGUUUAGUUUAAUCCCAACCAUUAUUUGUGACAAACACUUGGCGCAAGAUCUUAGACUCUUAAAUCGAAAUGAAUAAAUGUUUUAAACCUCAGUCGCAUUUAAACUUGUAUAAACUAAAAAUAGUCAAUUUCUAUUUUAAAUAAUCACAUUUAAGAUAGUUUAUGUGUUGAUCAAAUACUUGUUUAGACUUGUUUAGGCUUUCAAACUAUAUAUGUUGAUCAAAUACACUGAGUAUGAGAUGUGGCUUGCAAAACAGCUAAGGCAAAAUAGUCCCCAAAUAAUUAAACCAGAUUAAUUUCCACAACUGACAAAUAGAAGUGUCGUACAUUUUUCAAAGAGCGUGUCUUAAUCGUGCCGAUUAACAUCCAAAAUGUCUUUGUUAUUAGUCGAUUACUACUAGCUAUUAUUGUUAUUAUUAUAACAGUUACCACGAAAACAUCGUCGAGAUAUUUCAUCCAUCUCACCCCAUUUUCAUGCACAAAUAAAUUGAAAAAGAAAAAUCACUUAUGAAUGAUGAGAAUCGAGCCUCUUGCAACAUAUCUACAUGGUAUAUUUUAACCAGGCACUGAGUGUAGCUAGGGACAACAUGCGAUGGUCAGCCUCUUGCAACAUACCUAAACUUCAGUAUGAUUGGUAAUCAACAAAAGUACUAGUCAAUCUUGACUUCAAACUCAAGGGAAGCAUCUUUAUCCGAAUUAAAGAGAUCCAGUCUAUCAUUUAUUGUUGUAUUGUUAGCAUACAAUUAUUACCAGAGAAUACAAGCAUAUAGAGGUUCUGCCCGAGGCUGAGAACGAAGAAGAGAAGAAGAAAUGGGCGGUAACACGGCGAGCGUUUGUGCAAGAGCUGAAGAAGGUGAGCUUCUUGGCAGCGCCUCUUGCCGGGGUAACUGUUUUUCAGUUGCUUUUGCCGGCUGUAUCAACGAUGAUGGUGGGACACCUUGGAAAACUUUCGCUUGCUAGCAUUACCAUCGCCACCUCUCUCACCAAUGUCACUGGCUUCACUCCACUCGUAAUUUUUUUUUCUUAAUUUUUACCAUUAAAAUGCCCUUCUAUAUAGGGCGUUACUUUUGAUUCUAUUUUCUUUUCUUUACUUUAGCUUGACUUUCAUGGGUGAUCAGAGCAAUCAACUUGAUAAAAUAGUAAGGGUAUAACAAAGGUUUUUCAUCAAACAAACAGUUUUAUAUACGUAUUUAGCUUAAAAGCUAUAGCUGCUAGGAAGCAAUACCAAAAGGAGUCUGAAUAUAUAAUUCGCUAUACCAUUCCACUCACCAGAGCGAAUAAUAUUUUCAUGUUCUGCUUGAGUUUGAACAAGAAUUAUACUCUAACUAACCAUUUUGGUGUGCUACUGUACUUAACUAGAUUUGCGAUAAUUGCUUAUAUGUUUCUUCUUUAUUUCAAUCUGUUAAGAUUAGCCUGCAACAUGAUAUCUUAGUAUUUGUGUUUCUGAAUCAGUACAAACUUGUCAAAUACAUGUAUAAUGUUGACGUUAACUUUAAAUUUUGAACAGUUUGGUUUUGCCUGUGCAUUAGAGACUCUAUGUGGACAAGCUUAUGGCGCAGAACAAUAUCAAAAGAUUGGGACGUAUACUUACUCUGCUAUGUUCUUUUGCAUUGCAAUAUGUCUCCCAAUCUCUGUUCUUUGGAUAUUCAUGGACAAAAUAUUAAUGCUGCUACACCAAAACCCUCAGAUUUCUGUUGAAGCCCGCAAUUAUGCAAUCUGGCUUAUACCAGCAUUAUUCGGCUAUGCGAUUCUUCGAUCACUGUGUCACAAUCUCCAGGCUCAGAGCUUGAUUCUAACAUUGUUCUUAAGCUCAUGUACAACUCUAUGUUUGCAUAUUCUUCUUUGUUGGGUUCUAGUGUUUAAAGCCGACUUUGGAAGUACCGGAGCAGCAUUAUCCAUUAGUAUGUCUUAUUGGUUCAAUGUGAUCAUCCUUGCUCUUUACAUGAGACACUCUCCAUCGUGUACAAAAACUCGCACUUUGAUCUCCAAGGAAAUUUUGCCUUGCAUGAAGGAGUUUACCGCCUUCGCUCUCCCCUCGGUUUUCAUGUUUUGGUAUAAUUUGUCAAUCUCACUUUGCAAUGUUAUUGUUAGUUUCUGUUAUUAUUGGUUUACUUACAGCGUGCUGUUUCGUUCCCAAUAAUUAUAGUCUUGAAUGGUGGUUCUAUGAGAUUCUGAUAUUACUGUCGGGACUUUUACCAAACCCCAAACUUGAAACAUCAGUUAUAUCUAUAUGGUACACUUCUGACAUCACUUGUGGUUUGCUUUUGGUGAAUUUUUUGGGGAAACUCUCAAUAGGGUUGAAUUGAUUUUCUUUGAUCUCCAUAUGCAGCUUUACAAUCCAGGCAACACACUAUUUUAUACCAUUUGGAAUUGGUGCUGCCGCAAGGUUUGAUCUAUGUCCUAUUUCAAAAGAGAUGCAAGUGGCAUAUGCAUUAUUUCUGUGUACUGAGAUUUUCUGUAGCAUUCGAGUGUCAAAUCAAUUAGGAGCUGGAAAUCCACAGCCAGCUCGGUUGGCUACCCGUGUUGCGGUGGCUCUUGCUGCCGCAGAGGCAGCCAUAGUGAGCAUAGCUCUAUUCUGCAGCCGAUAUGUCUUGGCAUAUGCAUUCAACAGUGACCAGGACGUCGUGAAAUAUGUGUCUAGAUUAGCUCCUCUGCUUAGUAUUGCUAUAUUCAUGGACAACAUGCAAUCGGUACUUUCCGGUGAGAAUCCUAACAUUCUAUCAGGAUUUAUUUGCACUCAUCUAAUGCUUAAAUAGCAGUGAACAUGCAGCUAAUAAUUUAAUUUUCGCGAAUUUACCUUUCUCGUCAGGGGUAGCUAGAGGAAUUGGGUGGCAGCACAUAAGGGCUUAUAUAAAUCUUGGUGCAUUUUAUCUCGUUGGAAUCCCGGUAGCGUAUGUGCUAUGUUUUUCAGUUCAUCUCAGAACGAAAGGCCUUUUGCUUGGAUUAAUGUCAGGCUCAACCGUACAAGCAGUUGCGCUUGCCGUCGUUACUUCAUUAACCAAUUGGCAAAAACAGGUUUCUGUAAUUCAUUUUUACUUUUGUUCUACGUGUUUGUUUCUUUGACAAUAUAUUAAUCAUCCUCUAAUCUGUUGGCUGACACUGAAUUUUUCAUAAUUUCAUGUGGAUAUUUUUCCAGGCAACCAUGGUCAGGGAAAGAAUAUUGGAGGGAGCACCUUCUACUGAAAAUCCAUCGGUUUGAUCCACCUGGGCUAGUAAUUAAUUACCCUGUUUUGUUUUUCAUCGUAACAAAUUACAUUCUCGAGACGAGAGCUGUAAAAUUUAACAGUGCUGGCAUUCUGACAAGCACCGGGUGACAAUUAUCGAACAGUUGGUAAGCAGAAGCAAAUAAACCCAACAAUAAGCACUAAUUUUUUAUAACAGCUAGUCAGCUACCACAAACAAUUUUUUUUUUCUUUAUAAUGAACUUCAGAAGAGAGAGAGAGGGGGGUAAAAAGCUAUAAUAAUAAUUAAAAAAAAAAAACUUAGAAAUAACUCCUAAUAAUAAUAAUAAUCAGGUGGAUCAUAGUACGCCACUACGCCUUAUAAUUCGUAAUAAAAGUAUACUGCUGAAACAUAAAUUUAAAAAAAAAAAAAAAAACACUCGAUGAGAUAACAAUACAAAGAAACAGCUAAACCAAUUAUUUAGAAAACCAUAUUUGCAUACCACAAACUAAUUUAAAGAUAACGUACGAUAUAACAGCAGUAGCAGAAAUAAGGUUGAUACAAUAAUUAAUGAAGCUCUACGCUACACCAAUUAGUGGUACCAUACCAUGCAUGAUCCAUCACACAGAGGAAAAAGAAAAAAAAAAAAGAUUUUAUUUAGCUUACUAUAUAUAUACGUAUUGCCAGCAGCCUGCAUGCUAGUACGGGGGAGGGGGAGGAUGAGGAGGGCGGUUCCAAGGCGGCGUUGGCCUGUAGGGAUCAUAGUUAUAAGGAGGUGCGGGACCGGGGGGGCCCGGAGGCGCUGCAAAAGGAGGGGGUGGAGAGUGAUGGUGAUGGUACCGAGGAGGUGGUGGAGGAGGCGGAUGGAACAAUUCGGGGCGGGGUGGCGGUGGUGGUGGAGGUGAAGGACCGUAAACGUGAGGUGGCGGCGGUGGGUGAGGAGCAUAUGGAUCUGCUGCCGCUGGUGGUGGUGGUGGUGGUGGAGGACCUGGACCUGGACGGUGGUGUCUAUGAAAUGCCAUGUUUUUGAAAGUUAGGUGAUCAAUACAAAGUGCUGUGCUGUUGUUUUUGUUUUAAGGGAUUUGGAGUUGUUUGUAUGUAUUUCCUUUGACGGUUCGUCGGAUGACGUGCCCAUGUUUGUGCCUCGGCUUCCUCAGCCAAUCAGAUUUUUAUUUUUGUCAAAAUUCGUUUCGUCUCCUCAUAUACUCCGUUUCAAGAGUGCAUCAUAUUU